Molecule: ribosomal RNA, 466 nt
Filed under: uncultured bacterium
Lineage: Bacteria
Description: bacterial SSU rRNA
Rfam family: Bacterial small subunit ribosomal RNA
Source: RNAcentral
GAUGAACGCUGGCGGCGUGCCUAAUACAUGCAAGUCGGACGGGGUGUAAGAGUAAUCGAGCAUCUAGUGGCGAACGGGUGAGUAACGCGUUGGUGACCUGCCCCAAAGCGGGGGAUAACAGCCUGAAAAGGUUGCUAAUACCGCAUAAUAUUGGCAAAGAUUAGAAAGUGUCAAUGAAAGGAGCGAUCCACUUUGGGAGGGGCCUGCGUCCCAUCAGCUUGUUGGUGAGGUAAAAGCUUACCAAGGCGAAGACGGGUAGGGGACCUGAGAGGGUGACCCCCCACAAUGGAACUGAAACACGGUCCAUACACCUACGGGUGGGCAGCAGUAGGGGAUAUUGCACAAUAGGCGGAAGCCUGAUGCAGCAACGCCGCGUGAGUGACGAAGGCCUUCGGGUCGUAAAACUACUUUUCUAAGAGGAAGAGGAAGGACGGUACUCUUGGAAUAAGCCUCGGCUAACUACGUG